GGGUACUGGAGAGGCCGAUUGAAUUUCGGCGUCGAGAGCCGAUAUCUUGGGAUCGUCGACAGGCAAGAUGUAAAGACAUGCCUCUGAUUGAGCACGGGACGUCUGAGAGUGGAUAUAUAAAGCGGUGGUAAAAGCGUUGACCACCACAGGACUCUGGCCGUCUUCGUCGCAUCUCCUUUCUUUGCAUCCAUCCUAGAGCUUUCUAGUUGAAGACAUGGACUGCUUGCUUGGGAAAUACGUCUUCGUGGUGGUUGCGGCCGCAUUCGCUGCGCUGAUUAUGGCCCCAAAUGAAGCUGGGGCAUUUCCACUCAGUGUAUAUGAAACUAUUGAAAAGGCCAAGGGACGAAUAGAAGACAACGUCGAGUGACGAAGCAUCAGUCUUCCUGACACAGUGCGGCUGGCUUGCGUUCCAUUCAGGACACCUGCUUCAUAACUGAAUAAAAUGAAUGAAG
Long non-coding RNA from Dermacentor andersoni, 452 nucleotides. RefSeq lists it as uncharacterized. The record is from RefSeq and is a predicted model, not a curated record. Lineage: Eukaryota; Metazoa; Arthropoda; Arachnida; Ixodida; Ixodidae.